RNAcentral lists this ribosomal RNA (229 nucleotides) under uncultured Staphylococcus sp. RNAcentral describes it as "partial 16S ribosomal RNA". It matches the Rfam family "Bacterial small subunit ribosomal RNA", at positions 111 to 334 of the family's 1533-position model. The record is from RNAcentral. Lineage: Bacteria; Bacillati; Bacillota; Bacilli; Caryophanales; Staphylococcaceae.
UAACACGUGGAUAACCUACCUAUAAGACUGGGAUAACUUCGGGAAACCGGAGCUAAUACCGGAUGAUAUUUUGAACCGCAUGGUUCAAAAGUGAAAGACGGUCUUGCUGUCACUUAUAGAUGGAUCCGCGCUGCAUUAGCUAGUUGGUAAGGUAGCGGCUUACCAAGGCAACGAUGCAUAGCCGACCUGAGAGGGUGAUCGGCCACACUGGAACUGAGACACGGUCCAG